RNAcentral lists this ribosomal RNA (448 nucleotides) under uncultured bacterium. RNAcentral describes it as "partial 16S ribosomal RNA". It matches the Rfam family "Bacterial small subunit ribosomal RNA", at positions 354 to 796 of the family's 1533-position model. The record is from RNAcentral.
GUGGGGAAUAUUCCGCAAUGGGCGCAAGCCUGACGGAGCAACGCCGCGUGAAUGAAGACGGUCUUCGGAUUGUAAAGUUCUGUCAUUAGGGACGAAGGACUCAUGUAAAUAAUAUGAGGAAUGACGGUACCUAAGGAGGAAGCUCCGGCUAACUACGUGCCAGCAGCCGCGGUAAUACGUAGGGAGCAAGCGUUGUCCGGAAUUACUGGGCGUAAAGGGCGCGUAGGCGGAUAAUUAAGUCAGAUGUGAAAUCUCCAGGCUUAACUUGGAGCGUGCAUUUGAAACUGGUUAUCUUGAGGGCAGGAGAGGAAAGUGGAAUUCCUAGUGUAGCGGUGAAAUGCGUAGAUAUUAGGAGGAACACCAGUGGCGAAGGCGACUUUCUGGACUGAACCUGACGCUGAGGCGCGAAAGCAUGGGGAGCGAACGGGAUUAGAAACCCCUGUAGUCC